RNAcentral lists this ribosomal RNA (3028 nucleotides) under Chloroflexi bacterium CG_4_8_14_3_um_filter_45_15. RNAcentral describes it as "bacterial LSU rRNA". It matches the Rfam family "Bacterial large subunit ribosomal RNA". The record is from RNAcentral. Lineage: Bacteria; Bacillati; Chloroflexota.
GGUCAAGGGAAUAAGGGCGUAGGGUGGAUGCCUUGGCAUCAAUGGCCGAAGAAGGGCGCGGCAAGACUGCGAAAAGCCUCAGCGAGCUGUCUAGCUAGCUUAACUGAGGAUUCCCGAAUGGAGCAAUCCGCUUAGGUAAAACCUAAGCACUCGCUUUUAGCGAGAGGGAACCGGGUGAACUGAAACAUCUAAGUAACCCGAGGAAAAGAAAUCAAAAUGAAAUUCCCUUAGUAGUGGCGAACGAAAGGGGAAGAGCCUAAACCAGGGUAGCUAAGUGGGCUUGAACCCUAAGCUAUUCUGGGGUUGUAGGGCACAGGAAACAGAUUUCAAGAUCUGUUACAGAGUUACAAAACUUUGUCUUAGCUGAAUGCUUCUGGAAAGGGUAACCGAAGAAGGUGAUAGUCCCGUAGGCAAAAGGCGAAGUCUCUGCUUGUGUUCCUGAGUACCACGGGGCACGAGGAACCUUGUGGGAAGCUGGGGGGACCACCCUCCAAGGCUAAAUACCAUUGAUGACCGAUAGUGGACCAGUACCGUGAGGGAAAGGUGAAAAGAACCCCGGGAGGGGAGUGAAAUAGAACCUGAAACCCUAUGCCUACAGGCAGUCAGAGGUCUGCCUUUGGUGGACUAAUGGCGUGCCUAUUGAAGAAUGAACCGACGAGUUGAUCUACGUGGCCAGGUUAAGCAACUUUAGUUGUGGAGCCGCAGCGAAAGCGAGUCCGAAUAGGGCGUAGCUAGUCCUGAAACAAGUUCAGGAUCUCUAGCAGGUCGUGUGGAUCAGACCCGAAACCGCGUGAUCUAUCCAUGGUCAGAGUGAAACUCAAGUAAAAUUGAGUGAAGGCUUGAACCUAUGAGUGUGGCAAAACUCCAGGAUGAACUGUGGAUAGUGCAGGUGAAAUGCCAAACGAACGCGGAAAUAGCUGGUACUCCCCGAAAUGCAUUUAGGUGCAGCCUCAGGAAGUAACUUGUGGAGGUAGAGCUCUGAAUGAAUUAGGGGCCGUGAGGUACUCUAAUUCAACCAAACUACGAAUGCCAUAGGUGCAAUCCUGGGAGUGAGACUGUGAAGGCUAAGCUCCAUAGUCGAGAGGGAAACAGCCCAGACCAUCAGCUAAGGUCCCUAAUGCAAGCUAAGUGGGAAAAGAAGUAGUGUUGCUAAAACAACCAGGAGGUUGGCUCAGAAGCAGCCACCCUUUAAAGAGUGCGUAACAGCUCACUGGUCAAGUAAUACUGCACUGAUAAUUUAACGGGGCUCAAGCUUGCUACCGAAGCUAUGGCAUGGUCAGAAAUGACCAUGGGUAGGGGAGCAUUGUCAUGGCUGUGAAGCUCUGAUGUAAAUCAGGGUGGAGCAAUGACAAGUGAGAAUGUCGGUAUGAGUAGCGUAAAGGCAUGUGAAAACCAUGCCCACCGUGAACCUAAGGUUUCCUACGCAACGUCAAUCGGCGUAGGUUUAGUCAGGACCUAAGCUGAACCCUAAUGGGGUAGGCGAUGGAUAAUGGGUUAAUAUUCCCAUACUACCUGGUUUUCGUUUUAAGGCAAAGAGGGGACCCAGAAAGGUGGGCUGAGCAUACCUAUUGGACAUGGUGUGUUUCCAACUCAAGGCGUAUCAGAGCAGGCAAAUCCACUCUGGUGCUAAGCUGAGGGGAGGGAAAAAUUGAGGGGCGACCCGAGAUAAUUCAGCUGAGCCUAUGCUGGCGAGAAAAGCCUCGUUGCUAGAAAGCCAGGUACCUGUACCGCAAACCGCCACUGGUAGGUGGGGAUAAAUGUCCCAAGGUGUUCGAGAGAACCCUCGUUAAGGAACUCGGCAAUCUAACCCCGUAACUUCGGGAGAAGGGGGCCCGCCUGAAUAAGGCGGGGACACAAAAUUGGCUCAGGCGACUGUUUAACAAAAACACAGGUCUCUGCUAAAGCGAAAAAGCUGAAAUAUAGAGGCUGAUACCUGCCCAGCGCCAGAAGGUUAAAGGGAGAGGUUAGGGUAGUAAUAUCCGAAGCUUUGAGCUGAAGCCCUGGUAAGCGGCGGCCGUAACUAUAACGGUCCUAAGGUAGCGAAGUCCCUUGUCGGGUAAGUUCCGACCUGCACGAAUGGUGCAACGACCUGAGCGCUGUCUCAACGAGGGGCUCGGUGAAAUUGAAAUGGGGGUGAAGAUGCCCUUUACCCGCGAUUGGACAAAAAGACCCUAGCAGCUUUACUAUAACUUGGCAUUGGAUUUAGGUUGAACAUGUGUAGAAUAGGUGGGAGGCUAAGAAACCGGGGCGUCAGCUUCGGUGGAGCCGACAGUGAAAUACCACUCUUGUUUAACUUUGGUUCUAACCCGCCUUAAGGCGGGGACAAUGCCUGGCGGGUAGUUUAACUGGGGCGGUUGCCUCCUAAAAGGUAACGGAGGCGUCCAAAGGUUCCCUCAGCACGGAUGGAAAUCGUGUAUUGAGUGCAUUGGCAUAAGGGAGCUUGACUGUGAGACCUACAAGUCGAGCAGGGACGAAAGUCGGGCAAAGUGAUCCUACGGCACUGUGUGGAAGGGCCGUGGCUUAUCGGAUAAAAGCUACGCUAGGGAUAACAGGCUUAUCUUGCCCAAGAGUUCAUAUCGACGGCAAGGUUUGGCACCUCGAUGUCGGCUCGUCGCAUCCCGGGGCUGAAGUCGGUCCCAAGGGUCGGGCUGUUCGCCCGUUAAAGCGGCACGUGAGCUGGGUUCAAACCGUCGUGAGACAGGUUGGUCUCUAUCCAUCGUGGGCGCUGGAGAUUUGAGGGGAGCUGUCCUUAGUACGAGAGGAUUAGGAUGGACAGACCGCUGGUGUGUCAGUUGUCCUGCCAAGGGCAGUGCUGAGUAGCUAUGUCUGGAGGGGAUAAGCGCUGAAAGCAUCUAAGUGCGAAGCUCACCCCAAGAUGAGAUCUCCCACCGGAUACGGGUUCUAGCAAAAUUUAUUUUGCUGGAGCUUAACCGGGUAAGGCCGCAAGUAGACUACUUGCUUGAUAGGCGGCGUGUGUAAGCGGAGUAAUCCGUUAAGCUUAGCCGUACUAAUGGCCGAGGCCUUGACC